Molecule: long non-coding RNA, 939 nt
Filed under: Medicago truncatula (barrel medic)
Lineage: Eukaryota; Viridiplantae; Streptophyta; Magnoliopsida; Fabales; Fabaceae
Description: long non-coding RNA (MTRU_LNC006655)
Source: RNAcentral
UGAUGCAGAAGUUGGGUUGUGUUUUCAUCUUCAACAUACAGAGGUUCACCAAACAAACUCAUCAUUAAGUUGUCUUCGUGACUAUGAAAUUCUCCAGUAGCUAAUUUAGACACAUUUUUUCCAGAUGGGGAGCUAGUCCUCAACACAGGUUCCAGAUUCCUUAUGGUGUUGCCUUCAUGACUAUGAGAUUCUCCAUUGCCAUGGUUAAACGUUUUAGUUUCAAAACCCGGUGGUUUCUCCAGUGUACCAAAUUCACCCUCAGCAACCUGGUCAUUUUUCUUUAAAGGCUCUGCAUGUAUUUGUGAGUAUGCAUUAGUUCUAGAAUGGUGCAGAAGUUGGGUUGUGUUUUCAUCUUCAACAUAUAGAGGUUCUCCAAACAAAUUCAUCAUCAUGUUCUCUUCAUGAUUAUGAGAUUCUCGAGUGGUUGACACAUUUUUUCCAGAUGUGGAGCUAGUCCUCAACACAGGUUCCAGAUUCCUUAUGUUGUUGCCUUCAUGACUAUGAGAUUCUCCGUUGCCAUGUUUAAACAUUUUAGUUUCAAAACCCGGUGGUUUCUCCAAUGUACCAAAUUCACCCUCAGCAACCUGGUCAUUUUUCUUAAAUGGCUCUUCAUGUAUUUGUGAGUAUGCAUUAGUUCUAGAAUGAUGCGGAAGUUGGGUUGUGUUUUCAUCUUCAACAUAUAGAGGUUCUCCAAACAAAUUCCUCAUCAUGUUCUCUUCAUGAUUGUGAGAUUCUCGAGUGGUUAAUUCAGACACACUUUUUCCAGAUGAGGAGCUAGUCCUCAACACAGGUUCCUGAUUCCUUAUUAUGUUGCCUUUGUGACUAUGAGAUUCUCCAUUGGUGAAUUUAGGCAUAUUUUUUCCGGAUAAGGAACUAGUCCUCAACUCAGGUUGCCCAAGCAGUAUCUUUGAAGACUGAUCAUUCAUAUUACGCUCUUUG